CUUAACAAAACUAUCCGCCAGAGAACUACUAGCCACAGCUUAAAACUCAAAGGACUUGGCGGUGCUUUACAUCCCUCUAGAGGAGCCUGUUCUAUAAUCGAUAAACCCCGAUAUACCUCACCAUCUCUUGCUAAUUCAGCCUAUAUACCGCCAUCUUCAGCAAACCCUGAAAAGGAAGAAAAGUAAGCAUAAGUAUCUUAACACAAAAAAGUUAGGUCAAGGUGUAGCCCAUGAGGUGGGAAGCAAUGGGCUACAUUUUCUAAAAUUAGAACAUCAACGAAAAUCCUUAUGAAAUUAAGUAUUAAAGGAGGAUUUAGUAGUAAAUUUGAGAAUAGAGAGCUCAAUUGAAUCGGGCCAUGAAGCACGCACACACCGCCCGUC
Molecule: ribosomal RNA, 381 nt
Filed under: Otocolobus manul (Pallas's cat)
Lineage: Eukaryota; Metazoa; Chordata; Mammalia; Carnivora; Felidae
Description: partial 12S ribosomal RNA
Rfam family: Bacterial small subunit ribosomal RNA
Source: RNAcentral